Non-coding RNA from Salmo salar (Atlantic salmon), 110 nucleotides. NCBI's taxonomy places the organism in Eukaryota, Metazoa, Chordata, Actinopteri, Salmoniformes, Salmonidae. The record is from Rfam.
GCUUACGGCCAUACCAGCCUGAAUAAGCCCGAUCUUGCCUGAUCUCAGAAGCUAAGCAGGGUCGGGCUUGGUUCUAUGACCAUCCGUCAUAGAGUAUAGAGCUGUAGUUU